UAGGGAAUCUUCCACAAUGGACGAAAGUCUGAUGGAGCAACGCCGCGUGAGUGAAGAAGGGUUUCGGCUCGUAAAAACUCUGUUGUUAAAGAAGAACAUAUCUGAGAGUAACUGUUCAGGUAUUGACGGUAUUUAACCAGAAAGUCACGGCUAACUACGUGUCAG
This 165-nucleotide ribosomal RNA is filed under the name uncultured bacterium. Its description in RNAcentral is "partial 16S ribosomal RNA". It matches the Rfam family "Bacterial small subunit ribosomal RNA", at positions 355 to 511 of the family's 1533-position model. The record is from RNAcentral.